GACUGUCGCUGGCUUUCUUUUGCAUCGCAUGUGCACGUCCUUUAUCCUUGGAGUCCACCCUUUUCUCUCAUUUAAAAUUCACAACAACCACACCUGUGCACCUAUUGUAGGUUCUCGAAAGAGAAAUCUAUGUUUUUUACUUCACUUUUAAUGCUGCAUGUUCAUAGAAUGUUAUCAAAUUGGCUUUCGUCAAUCAAUCCUGGACUCUUCAUUGGAGUCUUAGGUUUUUUUUGGCCGGUCAAUAUAAAAUCAUAAUACAACUUUCAGCAACGGAUCUCUUGGCUCUCGCAUCGAUGAAGAACGCAGCGAAUUGCGAUAAGUAAUGUGAAUUGCAGAUUUCCAGUGAAUCAUCGAAUCUUUGAACGCACCUUGCGCUCCUUGGUAUUCCGAGGAGCAUGCCUGUUUGAGUGUCAUUUUGAAUUCUCAACCAUCUCUUGAUUCAUUUCAAGAUCGUUGGCUUGG
Molecule: unclassified non-coding RNA, 462 nt
Filed under: Boletaceae sp. 15 CG-2012
Lineage: Eukaryota; Fungi; Basidiomycota; Agaricomycetes; Boletales; Boletaceae
Description: sequence contains ITS1, 5.8S rRNA gene, ITS2
Rfam family: 5.8S ribosomal RNA (bases 259-413)
Source: RNAcentral